RNAcentral lists this ribosomal RNA (330 nucleotides) under uncultured eukaryote. RNAcentral's name for it is "partial 18S ribosomal RNA". It matches the Rfam family "Eukaryotic small subunit ribosomal RNA", at positions 1470 to 1796 of the family's 1831-position model. The record is from RNAcentral.
CCCUUAGAUGUUCUGGGCCGCACGCGCGCUACACUGAUGCAUUCAACGAGUCUAAAACCUGGUCUGAUAGGGCUGGGUAAUCUUUUGAAAGUGCAUCGUGAUUGGGAUAGAUGAUUGCAAUUCUUCAUCUUCAACGAGGAAUGCCUAGUAAACGCAAGUCAUCAGCUUGCAUUGAUUACGUCCCUGCCCUUUGUACACACCGCCCGUCGCUCCUACCGAUUGAAUGAUCCGAUGAAUACCAUGGAUUGAGAGUUCGAAUAGGUUCGCCUAUUUCAGCUUCUCGAGAAGUUGAGUAAAUCUUAUCAUUUAGAGGAAGGAGAAGUCGUAACA